Molecule: ribosomal RNA, 497 nt
Filed under: uncultured bacterium
Lineage: Bacteria
Description: partial 16S ribosomal RNA
Rfam family: Bacterial small subunit ribosomal RNA
Source: RNAcentral
GAUGAACGCUGGCGGCGUGCCUAAUACAUGCAAGUCGAGCGAACGGACGAGAAGCUUGCUUCUCUGAUGUUAGCGGCGGACGGGUGAGUAACACGUGGAUAACCUACCUAUAAGACUGGGAUAACUUCGGGAAACCGGAGCUAAUACCGGAUAAUAUUUUGAACCGCAUGGUUCAAAAGUGAAAGACGGUCUUGCUGUCACUUAUAGAUGGAUCCGCGCUGCAUUAGCUAGUUGGUAAGGUAACGGCUUACCAAGGCAACGAUGCGUAGCCGACCUGAGAGGGUGAUCGGCCACACGGUAGCUGCAACACGGACCAGGAUACUACGGGAGGCAGCAGUAGGGAAUGUUAGGCAAUGGGCGAAAGCCUUACAGAGCAAGGCCACGUGAGAGAUGAAGAUGUUCGGAGCGGAAACCUCUGUUAGUAGGGAAAAACAAAUGUGUAAGUAACUAUGCACGUCGGGACGGUAACUAGUAAGAAAGCAACGGCUAACUACGUG